CCCGCCGGGCUACAAUAAAUCUAUAAGAGCGGUAGCCCGGUUUAUUGACAGACAUACGUAGAAUAAACACGCUGACCAUGUGUUUGUACACUGUGUAUUGCUUUUAAUCCGAUAACAAAGUGCAAUCAAUUAUCUAAUCAGUCACCGAUCACUUGCGGUAAUGUCUUAAACAGUAACAGUGUAUUUUAAUCAUCCAAUCAGAACCAACAUUUGUCGUCUGCUAAUAAUAUAAUGAGAGCCGGUUGGAUAGUUGGCGCACAUGAUGCAACAUCAUUUCGCAGUUUGGAAUUCUUUGUUAACCGCAACAAUGAGUAAUAGCGACAACGUUUUUGAUGUCGUUAAAAUUAAAUAUCCAAGGACGCCAAACAUUAAAUAAAUUAAAACAAUAGCGGAUUCUUCAAAACGGUAACGAAACCGAAAAUGAAUAUUAAUGACAACUUUGUGAACGCGGUUAACACCUGCUAAUUAGUUUGCAUUGUCAAUUAAUAAUUGGAUUAAUCGACUGUUAAUCAAUAAUCCCAUAUAUGCCCGUUUUUUUUUUUUAAACCAAAUUAUGGGUGGGUAAUAUAGACGAUAAGUGUCAUAAACACAAACGUUUGAAAUUUUCUAAAGUGUCAAAUGAAUUUCGGCACAUGGUUCUAUUUAAAGAUAUGAUGAAAUAAGCUCCCAAUCAGGACCGUUGUAUUGCAACAUGCGUAAAUAAUCUGCCACGGUGUGCACCACAGCUAUUUUAGGUUACAAAAUUCUACAUUUAAGAAAUGAAUUUCUUUGUCCUGAUAAAAAGCGCGCGAAAAUUGACGUGGGUGUAUUCAUUUGUAAAUAAAAAUUUCGUAGCGGGUACAACAUUGAGAUCAUUUAAUUUACAUUAAAAGUUUCGUUGUGAAUUUCAAUGUAAGUACCGGGGUAUCUCGCGAAGUAUUUGGCAUUGACAUUUUCUCUUAAUAAAAUAUCAUGUAAACACGCUGUAUCGUUACCGUUACGCUGUAUCAGUUCAUUGAAACAAUUAUUGUAUUGUAUACUGACUGCAUUCAAGUGUCGUAACAUACGGAUGCAAUACAUGUACGUAAAUUCGGACAGUACUUUAA
Dreissena polymorpha is the source of this 1085-nucleotide long non-coding RNA. RefSeq lists it as uncharacterized. NCBI's taxonomy places the organism in Eukaryota, Metazoa, Mollusca, Bivalvia, Myida, Dreissenidae. The record is from RefSeq and is a predicted model, not a curated record. The transcript is spliced from 2 exons.